UAGUGUUUUGAGACUUCAGAGGGGAGAAAGGCAAUUCACAUGAAGAUUGAAAAGCAAAUGGUUGGUAAAUAAGUGUUUGUUGGACUUUGCAGAGACAAUGAGACAUGGAGUGGACUCUGAUCUAUAGGUCCUGCUGAGUCCCCCCCACACAGCCCAUACUCUUUGCAGAUAUCUCUGGUGAUAGCUCAAUUCCAGGAAUAAGCUUCCUAUCUCAGUUUUUAUUAAGCAGUUAGGGAGAGGGUCAGAGUUUUCUCCUGAGUGUUUUGGGCUUUGAUUGUUUUCAGCUCAAAGUAAUUUUGUGCCAAAGAGGCAUUAUGGGGUGCCAAGUUUUGCUCCCAGACAUUUGCUUCUUUUUUUUUUUUAUUUCCUCUUAAUAUCUAUUUAAAGAAUUGAUCAAAUUUGCUGUACAACAAAAUGGUAUCAAGAGAAUACUUGGUUUAUGACUUCAUCUUCCAUGUUGAAAUAAAAUAAUAAAACAAUAAUAGCUAUAAUAAAUAAUGACAAAACUUAUGAAUUUGACUUCAUUUCCCAUCUAAUCCUAGCUAUCUUUCAAAUCGUUAGUCCCUGAAGCAAAUUUUGUUCAUUUUUUUUGUGCUUUUGGGUUUAGAGCUAUGUUUGCCAAAUAUUUGAUAGAACACUAGUCUUAAGAAAGUGUUUUUGGAAGAAAGUAUGCUGGUUGAAUGAAUACAUUUGGGAAUGGGAAAAACUAACCAUGUGACCCCCUUCCUUAUGGAAAGUCAGUAUAUGCAUUAGUUUAUUAAUGGUCUAAGUAAUUUUUAGAGCAUCAAUAUCCUUUUUUGCAUUAAUUAAAGAACCUGUUGUGUUGUACAAGCUGUGUUGUACAGUAUACACUAUAGGAAAUAUAUCCUUAGAGAGGUUUAUAUACUGGAUAUUAUUCCUAUCUUGACACUAUUUCUAUUCCUACUCUUCCAAGAUAGUAUAUCAUAUAUACACAUAGCAUAUCAUAUAUAGUAUUUAUUUAGUAAACUAGAAGAGGUCAACAGGUUUUAAAGAUGUUGCUUGGUGAGAAGGUUCUUUGUUGAUUUUCUAAAAAUUCUUUUUGCUUUCUUUAGUUCUCUCUUUAUUCCCUAUCAUCUUACCCAUUUCGAAUCUGAAGUAUUUGCAAAACUGACCUAGAAGGAAUACAGUUCUUCCUCUUUGGUAUUGCAAAAUUAGCACUGUAAUAUCUACCCUAAGAUAUAUGUAGUUCAGGCAGCUUUUGUGGGUCAUAUCUCACUUUAUGUAUAACAUCUCAUUCUGGCUUUGAGUUUUAGGAAUAAAGUGGAUUAAUUUAAAAAUAGCUGUUCUGUUUUGUAGUGAAAGUAUACCAGUGUUGUAAUUGGGAAGGAUAUGAAAAAAAUCAAGAGGCAGUUGUAAAAAUAGGUUCACACAGCUAGGACUUCAACUCAGUGCUUGAAAACAUUGUAUAUAAUUUUUAAGAGUGUGCUGGACUCUUCUCAUGGCUUCCUUUCAGAGGAAAAGCAAAAAUAUUAAUGAAAUGUUAGUAUUAGAAAACUGAGGUAAAAUGACUCAUAUAGUGACUUUGUGACUUAUCUUUGAUAGACGUGAUUGUCAUUACUAAAAUAUCUGAGGCCAUUGUUUUUGAAACUUAUUAAUAUGAUAUCUAAUUUAGUCAUAGCUACUGUGAGCUAGAUUAAGAUUUCAUUUCAUAAGUGUCCUUGUCUUUAUGAACUCCAGACUCCUUUCUAAUUUGGUUUAGAUUAAAGAUAAUCAUUCAUGGUUAUAAGUUCAAUUUAAUAUUGACUAAGUCAGACAAUAAACUAUCUAAUAUUUACAUCUGCUUAGAGAUAGCCUGCUUCAUUUAUUUUAAAUGGAAAGGUUUAAAAAAGCCUUUCUAUUUCUUUUUUUGUUAUUGAAGAGACUCAUAUAGGAGAAGGUACAUAGCUAACAGUUCUAUCCUUCUCUGAGUUCUACUUGUUAAACUUAAAAGUGGUAAAAAAUUAUUACCAACAAAAAUUUUGAGAAAUACAUGCAAAUAGUCUAGUUGUAUUGAACAUCAACUUAUAUAGUAGCUUCCCCAUUCCUGUAAGUUAUUCUGAGAUUUUAAACAUAUGAUUGUUUUGAUGAUACAGUUUAUUUGCCCAGUCCACAUUAAAAUCCGAAUGAAUUUUAAUAUUGAAAUAACAGUAAGAAACUCUUAUUUCAAGUUGCUGCCUUUUGUUUGCUGUACACUACUACAGUGUCAAAGAUUGAUUAUUUUUCUUUUAAAGCUGAUAUAGCUUCUACAGUUGACUGACUGCUUUUGAAUGACAAAAAGAAGGUUCCCAGGCUAGGGGUUGAAUUGGAACUAUAGCUGUUGGCCUGUACUACAGUGGCAGCAACGCCAAAUCCUAUGAGCCGUGUCUGCGACCUACACCACAGUUCACAGCAAUGCCAGAUCCUUAAUCCACUGAGUGAGGCCAGGGGUUGAACCUGCGUCCUCACAGAUACUUGUCAGAUUCGUUUCCUCUGAGCCAUGAUGGCAACUGCUUUUUUUUAUUUAACUUUUUUCCUUCAUUGAAGAUAUGUUAUUUUUACAUUUUUCAAUGAAAAACGUUGUCAACUUUUAGAUUUGUAAAAGAGUUAGCAAUUAUGGUUAUUUUGAAGCCAUGCAUUGUUUAUUAAGCUAAUUUUCCAUAUGUGUAUAAAAAGAUCUGAACAUUGAUACAUUUUUAUUGUAUUUAUAACUAAUAGUGAAAAUGUUUAAAUAUAUAAAUAGCUGGUGAAAUUUUUAUAUAACAUAUUAAAAAGUCUGUUGUCUUGUAAAAGCUUUAAUGCUAACAGCAUCUGUUAAAAUAUAAAAACAAAUCUGAAGUUCUCUAAGAAAAAUACAUUAGUUUCCUUUGAGGAUACUAUUGUUGCUUUGCUGCCCUCUACAGUCAUCUAAAAGUCAGUCUAGACGUUUCCCCCAUGAUGACUAAAAUACUUCCUUGACAUUUGUGCUAUAAAUUUCAAGAGUGAGUUGAGUAAUAUUUUCUGUUAAAAUAUGAUAACAUUUUAAUUGAUCACAACAGUUGAUCUACACCUGUAAUGCAAAAAAUAAGUCUUAGAAAUUGAAGGAGGAAAUGGAUUGAGGACCCACGUGCAUCAAUAAGGAAAUGGAUAAUAGAGCACCAACCAAGUGAUAAGAAGUAUAGAGGAUACCACAGUGGAGUAAGACAUGAUGGCUGCUCCAAGCUUAUAAACCCAUUAGUAAGACAAACCAGAUAUUUUUAGUAACAUACCAUAUGUUAGAUAUUUGUAAUAACAUUUCAAGUAGUGGUAUGAUAUAG
RNAcentral lists this long non-coding RNA (3272 nucleotides) under Sus scrofa (pig). RNAcentral describes it as "lncRNA (ENSSSCG00005006030.1)". The record is from RNAcentral. Lineage: Eukaryota; Metazoa; Chordata; Mammalia; Artiodactyla; Suidae.